CAUGCAGGCGGUCGGACGCGUUUCCAGUGACAGCGGGUGGCUUAACUACCCGGAGGGUUGGAAAGACGGUUUGACUUGAGUGCUCGAGAGGGACACGGAAUUCCGGGUGGAGUGGUGAAAUGCGUAGAGAUCCGGAGGAACAUCAAAGGCGAAGGCAGUGUCCUGGCGAGUGACUGACGCUGAGGUGCGAAAGCCAGGGGAGCGAACGGGAUUAGAUACCCCGGUAGUCCUGGCCGUAAACGAUGACCACCAGGUGUAGGAGGUAUCGACCCCGUUCUGUGCCGGAGUAAACACACUAAGUGGUACCGCCUGGGGAGUACGGUCGCAAGGAUUAAA
Molecule: ribosomal RNA, 336 nt
Filed under: uncultured bacterium
Lineage: Bacteria
Description: bacterial SSU rRNA
Rfam family: Bacterial small subunit ribosomal RNA
Source: RNAcentral